This 206-nucleotide ribosomal RNA is filed under the name Clostridioides difficile. Its description in RNAcentral is "partial 23S ribosomal RNA". It matches the Rfam family "Bacterial large subunit ribosomal RNA", at positions 1336 to 1533 of the family's 2925-position model. The record is from RNAcentral. Lineage: Bacteria; Bacillati; Bacillota; Clostridia; Peptostreptococcales; Peptostreptococcaceae.
CCACAGGCCGUAAACCCAAGGUUUCCAGGGGAAGGUUCGUCCGCCCUGGGUUAGUCGGGACCUAAGCUGAGGCCGAAAGGCGUAGGUGAUGGACAACAGGUUGAUAUUCCUGUACUACCGAUAACCGGUUGAGAGAAGGGAUGACACAGUAGGAUAAGCUAAGCACACUGUUGGUUAUGUGUGCCCAAGCAUUGAGGCAGUCAAAG